Molecule: long non-coding RNA, 1244 nt
Filed under: Struthio camelus australis
Lineage: Eukaryota; Metazoa; Chordata; Aves; Struthioniformes; Struthionidae
Description: lncRNA (ENSSCUG00000009390.1)
Source: RNAcentral
CCAUGUCUUAUACUUCAAACGCACCAAGUGUACACAAUGUCAGCUGAUCUAUUUAGUAAGCAUUCUUCUUGCACAGGAAAAUACUGAGGUAGUCGGUAAGCAGCAUACUAUCUAUGACUAUAUAAAUGUAUCAGAAAUCUAGCUGAGUCAUACCAUGACUCUUUUGUCGAAAGAAGGAAACAGCCAGGUUUCCUUCAUACAAAAACAGAAAACUGGUGCGAGGUAAGGACACGCAUCCUAGUUACGGAAACUGGGAAAUGCUCUCAGGUCUUCCAACUGAAGAGACUUCCUAAGCUGCGCUCUUCUGAAUCUUCUUCCUGCCUUUCCCCAAACCAUGAGAUCCUAUCCAGAACAAAGGAAGAGUGCGGUAAGAAAGGGAAAGAAUCCCAGCAACUCCACACAGAAAGAAAAUGACAAUGAGAAAUGAAGAAACGUGAUUUCAGAUGCCUGUAAAACCACAGCGUUCUGUUCUCCAAGGUGUGACGAUCCUAAAGAGGACUCCUCCUGCAGUGCCAAGCACUUCAGUAUAGUACCAGACAGAUCACUGGAGCACUCCUUCACUAAUAUGCAAAAACCAGGCUGGGAACCAAGGUCUGGCAAAGGUUAAUCUCCUGUAUGCAUCAAGACCGUAAGGGAAGUGACUGAAGUCCAGGGUUCCGUUGACACUUCUGUUCAACUUAUGACCAAUCAGAAGACUGCAUAAAUCCAGAAAGUAUGGUGCCAACCGCACUCACCGACUGAGGGCAUUAAUUCCAUACAAAGUGUUCCAUAACUGCUUUGAUGGGUAGCUGUUCCUCCAUUUCCUUCCAAAACUAAACCAUCACACCAAAGACACUGAAUACCAGAAGGGAGAGCUGUCCAUGGAUUUUUAUCAAACAGGCUAAACAUUUUGAGCCUCAGCACUGUUUGGGUUGUUUGCUUGUUGUAAUUUUUUUAUAUGAAAAUUAACUAAAGAUGAACGGGAAACAAGAUUUUAACAAUAUAGUAAGACUUCACCGCCAGUUGCUCCAACUUACUUAGAACAAACUGAGUUUUCCAGCAAAGAAAACAGUACUAGCACUAUAUCAAUCUGAAGUUAAAGAACAAAUGUCAGUCUAUUCUUGACAAACUCUUGCUUGCAUUUGUCUCUUUAGGACUCAGGCUCUUUGAUUCACUACGUUGUCCACCACGCACAGUAGCAUAAUGGAGUAGGGUGUCAGAGCCUGCCGUGUACCCCUCCACUUGCAGGGAUUCAGCUGCCUGUA